AGCUCAGCUGGAUAGAGCAACAGCCUUCUAGGCUGUGGGUCAGGGGUUUAGCGCGACAGGAUGUCGCAAAGUCUGCGCGGCCACGGAUGGCCUGGCGCAGACCGACUCCCUUCGUGC
RNAcentral lists this transfer RNA (117 nucleotides) under Turneriella parva DSM 21527. RNAcentral describes it as "tRNA-Arg (TCT) (tRNA-Arg-TCT-2-1)". Lineage: Bacteria; Pseudomonadati; Spirochaetota; Leptospiria; Leptospirales; Leptospiraceae. The record is from RNAcentral.